GCCUACGGGAGGCAGCAGUGGGGAAUUUUGGACAAUGGGCGCAAGCCUGAUCCAGCUAUUCCGCGUGUGGGAUGAAGGCUCUCGGGUUGUAAACCACUUUUGUAGAGAACGAAAAGACACCUUCGAAUAAAGGGUGUUGCUGACGGUACUCUAAGAAUAAGCACCGGCUAACUACGUGCCAGCAGCCGCGGUAAUACGGAGGAUGCGAGCGUUAUCCGGAUUUAUUGGGUUUAAAGGGUGCGUAGGCGGGCUGUUAAGUCAGCGGUCAAAUGUCGGGGCUCAACCCCGGCCUGCCGUUGAAACUG
RNAcentral lists this ribosomal RNA (305 nucleotides) under uncultured bacterium. Its description in RNAcentral is "bacterial SSU rRNA". It matches the Rfam family "Bacterial small subunit ribosomal RNA", at positions 337 to 635 of the family's 1533-position model. The record is from RNAcentral.